Stegodyphus dumicola is the source of this 1070-nucleotide long non-coding RNA. RefSeq lists it as uncharacterized. NCBI's taxonomy places the organism in Eukaryota, Metazoa, Arthropoda, Arachnida, Araneae, Eresidae. The record is from RefSeq and is a predicted model, not a curated record.
ACAUCACAACAGGUUUUCCAUAACAUUCAACUACUCAGGCUACUAUAAAUGAAACAACAACUUGGCGAUAAAUCAAACAACUUCGCGAUAAUGCAAGGGGUACCUUAAAGUCUACUCUACCCAUGUAUGGUUAUAAGUCUUAUAUAUUAAACUUGGCUCCUACAAAGUUUAACAUAGAAUACAGAGCAAAUUCCCUUGAAUUUCAGACUUUUGUCAGGACAUUGCCAUCAUGCUGAUCAAGCAACUUGGGGAAUGUCAACAUUGUUACUGCUUUAACAACUGUAAAGUUCAAUGAUAUGGUCAAGUAUAAAUUCAAUUGAAGAAUGCAAAAAAUGGGUAAAGGAAGUCGGCGUAAAUUCAGAUACCCCAGUGGAUAGUGCAAGAGCUCUAAACCAAAUGCUACUACUUGCUUUCAGUGAAAAGUAUGCAUGCCAUCAUGCAAGUUAUAGGAAAGCAUGAACAUGUACUGCACAUGUACGAGGAAGGCAAGAUAACAAUUAUGACUGUAAAUCAUCACUGCUUAUAUCUGUCAAGCUGACUACACAAACUAUAGUAGCAAAAGAUAAGUUGUAGAAAGUGUGUAACAGAGAUUUAUACAUACAUUAUAGUUAGUAAAUAAUCAUUCUUAACUAUAAAUAAAAUUUAAAUAUAAUGAAAUUCAAACCCCUUAUUUCAUUUUUUAUAAUUUCUCUUCUUAUUACGAGGGGAUUUCACAACCAUUGACUCCUCUCAUUGUUAAAUAAUUCAUUUAGCAUUGAACAACAUAUUAUUUUAUUGGUUAAAAAAUAAUAAAAUAUUUUGUGUGUAUGACCAAGCUAUGAUCUAAGAUUUUUCAAUGCUUGAAGCAUCAUUUUAAAGAUUUUUAUAAAAUUGUUUUAAUUUCAGGCAUUGGCAGAGUGAAUGGCAGUUGAAAAAUUUUGGCCCUUAUUCUGGAAGUGGAAUGUUAGAUGUUUUCGCAUAAUAUCAAUCAAAAGCAUUGCCUCUCCAUUUUCAUGGUCAAAAAGAUAAAGUUAAAAAAAAAAAAAAAAAAAAAAAAAAAAGAAAAAAAGAAAGAAAGAAAAAAAGAAAAA